Molecule: unclassified non-coding RNA, 270 nt
Filed under: uncultured fungus
Lineage: Eukaryota; Fungi
Description: partial contains 5.8S ribosomal RNA, internal transcribed spacer 2, and large subunit ribosomal RNA
Source: RNAcentral
AACGCAUAUUGUGCCCCUUGGUAUCCCGGGGGGCAUGCCUGUUCGAGCGUCAUUUCAACCACUCAAGCCUAGCUUGGUAUUGGGCAUCGUUGUGCUUUAACUCUGUUAUUCAGAGAAGGCAACGUGCCUUAAAUAUAGAUAGCGGCAAGUAUAAGUUCCGAGCGUAGCAGUAAAACAUUUCGCUUUAGGUAUUUUGUAUAUUGUCAGCUAAAUAGUUAGCCAUACUAUUAUUUUGACCUCGGAUCAGGCAGGGAUACCCGCUGAACUUAA